AGGAGGAGGAGGAGGCUGAGACUUGGAUGGAAGAUGGUGGUUGGACUGCAAGUGAGGUAUGAUUCUUUAGAAGAAAUCCUAAAGAGAUCCUAGAGGAAAGGAUGAGUCUUGCUGGUCCAGGGCAGCAGUGACAUAAAAAGGCUGUAUGGAGAUCACAACGUGAAUGCUGUUCCUGUUGAUUCUGUGCUCUGCUGCUGGAGCAAAACUUCACGAUAGUGAAGCAGAAUGCAAGGUUCUAUUAAAGGACUCAUUAAAUGACUUUGGAGCAGAGAUGCAAAGAAGGCAGUGUUGGAGGGGCCAGCAACCAGCACACACUGCUGCCRUACACCUCUUGGGCCGUGUCUUUGCUURCAGCACAACAUACUGUGUCUAUAUGUGAGCCUGGGCUUCCUCAUCGGCUUCUGCAGCUAUACCCUGCAGGCUGCUCUCUGGGAAUUUGUCCUAACAGUUGUAGCCAAGAACUUUGCUGCUGCUUCAGUAUCUACUAUGGUAAGGCCAAGAGUGACAAGCCUGCAUCUAAGUCAUCRAAAAAGUAGAGAUUGGACUACAGGAUUAAGGUAUCUCUAAACAUUUACUGGACACAUGUCUACCUGGCAAAUUCAGCAAUAACGUAAGGAUGUUGGGUAUCUACRUAGUAAAUAUAGAAGAAACAAGUUAAAAUAAUAUUAGCCAACUCAAGUUUCCUUAAGUUAAUGGCUAAAACAGCUUUGAGACUUGGAAAGUUCMGCCAAAAAGUCUGAAAUGUAUUUUAUGCAUCCUUGUCAUCUACAAGCAGGUAUUAAGCUAGACUAGGCUGAAAAAACAAACAUCAAAAAGACCGAAGUGAGGAGUGUGUGUGUGUUUUGCUUAGCAGUAGUUAGAAGGCAGAUAAACGGUGUGACUGACCAGUGAAGUGUGAGUGAAGAGUAGGGGUGGUYAUUUUCCAGCUGGAGCAAAAGCUGUGCCUGUGUUUCCAGGGGCACCUGGCACUUGGUGCUGGGCCAGGCAGGGGCACCUGCAAGGGGAGGGCUCCUUUCUCCCAUGCUCAGCGCUGUCCUGCUUUGCUAAUGGGCAUCGUUUCUGUGCAGGCAGCCCUGCUGGCUUCCCCUCUUCUGCCCUCGAGCCCUGCAAGAGCAGUGUCCCUGCCUGAGUGCUAGUGUGUAGGGAUGGGGUCCCAGAGCAGGAAAGGGACAACAGGGGAGGCUGGGGCCUGACUCUGAUGGAUUUGUGGCUACAGGCAUAUCCUUUGAUACUAAUCAAAUUCAUAGAUACAAAUGGACAAUUGUGAUGCAGUGUUUUGAUCAAGUGGCACGUGCAUUGAACAGCCCAUACUGGUUAAAUUAAUUUUGUCUCCUAAUUUCACUUCUUCGCACUCUGAAAGCUUUCAAAUCUCUUCCAAACACAUUUCUGUUCCCUACUGUUGCCAAGCAGCCAUUAAUUGCAACUCUACUGAAGCAAUCUGGGUGUAUGCUAACUGUUAACAGGCUAUUUUGGACCUAUCAUCUUUGAUUAUGAGGUGGCUAUCACUACAAAYAAAAUAAGCAGCCAUAUACUAUUAAGGGAUCAUCAGA
This is a long non-coding RNA of Nothoprocta perdicaria, 1550 nucleotides long. RefSeq lists it as uncharacterized. The transcript is spliced from 4 exons. The record is from RefSeq and is a predicted model, not a curated record. Lineage: Eukaryota; Metazoa; Chordata; Aves; Tinamiformes; Tinamidae.